GGAGGGUGCAAGCAUUAAUCGGGAAUUAUUGGGGCGUAAAGGGCGCGUAGGCGGAUAUGUAAGUCAGAUGUGAAAUACCGAGGGCUUAACCUCGGGUGCUGCAUUUGAAACUACAUAUCUUGAGGAUAGACGGAGAAAACGGAAUUCCACGUGUAGCGGUGAAAUGCGUGGAUAUGUGGAAGAACACCUGUGGCGAAAGCGGUUUUCUAGUUUAUUCCUGACGCUGAGGCGCGAGAGCAAGGGGAGCAAACAGGAUUAGAUACCCUGGUAGUCCUUGCCGUAAACGAUGUAUACUUGAUGUAGUUGGACUCAACCCCGACUGUGUCGUAGCUAACGCGAUAAGUAUACCGCCUGAGGAGUACGCUCGCAAGGGUG
RNAcentral lists this ribosomal RNA (375 nucleotides) under uncultured organism. RNAcentral's name for it is "partial 16S ribosomal RNA". It matches the Rfam family "Bacterial small subunit ribosomal RNA", at positions 527 to 896 of the family's 1533-position model. The record is from RNAcentral.